Perca fluviatilis (European perch) is the source of this 232-nucleotide long non-coding RNA. RefSeq lists it as uncharacterized. NCBI's taxonomy places the organism in Eukaryota, Metazoa, Chordata, Actinopteri, Perciformes, Percidae. The transcript is spliced from 3 exons. The record is from RefSeq and is a predicted model, not a curated record.
CCAGGAGACUGAAGGCAGGACACAUUCAGAAACCAUAUCUCACUCAGAACACCAUGGAUGACACCUCUCUGGAAAACAUCUGUCAUGCUUAUCAGUGGGGCCUCGAGACAAGUAGCGGGCUGGACCUUUUGGAUGACUGCCACACACCACAGGGUCAGGACCAGACCGGGAGAGAUUGCUUUGUUGAUUCUUUACGUUACGAGCAACGGGCUGCUGGUAGCCGAGCAGACUG